GUGGGACUUGCCAGCUUCUCUGAUGCCCUGGGAGACCGCUUGUUUAAUAAACUCCAUCAUAUCUGGAGUAGGGGCAGUAGUGGAAGUGCCUGCGGCUGUAGAGAGGCAUUCUGUGCAGAGACGCUUGCCUUCCAGAGGUUUAUUGCUGCAGGCUUCGCAUCUCUUCUUCAUAGGCGACUUGCCUUUGGAAGUUCUGGAUGCUUUAAUUCCCGUAGAGCUGACAUAAUAG
This is a non-coding RNA of Pelobates cultripes (western spadefoot toad), 229 nucleotides long. The record is from the annotation of a GenBank genome assembly. NCBI's taxonomy places the organism in Eukaryota, Metazoa, Chordata, Amphibia, Anura, Pelobatidae.